GCGGUACGUGAGCUGGGUUCAGAACGUCGUGAGACAGUUCGGUCCCUCUCCGUCGCCAGCGGAGGAUGUUUGCGGGGGGCUGCUCCUAGUACGAGAGGACCGGAGUGGACGGACCGCUGGUGAGACCAGUUGUGCCGCCAGGCGCAAGGCUGGGAAGCUAGGUCCGGGAGGGCGAAGCGCUGACCGCAUCUAAGCGCGAAGCCGGCCCCAAGAUGAGACAUCCGCGCCCGGGGAACGGGCGACAGACCCCCGCGAGACGAGCGGGUGGAUAGGCGGGCCGUGGAGGCGCGGUAACGCGUAGAGCGAGCCCGUACUAAGCGGUCGAGGACUUCCUCCU
This 337-nucleotide ribosomal RNA is filed under the name Bacillota bacterium. Its description in RNAcentral is "partial 23S ribosomal RNA". It matches the Rfam family "Bacterial large subunit ribosomal RNA", at positions 2593 to 2925 of the family's 2925-position model. Lineage: Bacteria; Bacillati; Bacillota. RNAcentral also lists the same sequence under 1 other name. The record is from RNAcentral.